UUAUUGGUGAUGACGGAAAAAAGUAAUUAUGUUAUUUUCAUACAGAGAGCUAGUGGUUGGUGUAAACUAGUUGAAAAUACAUAAUGAAGUUCCUUCCCGAACUGCAGACUGAAAUUUACAGUAGGUCUUGCCGUACGUCUACGUUACAGACAUAGAGCUGAUCUUAUGAUCAAAACUAGGGUGGUACCGCGGUGAUUCGUCCCUUAU
RNAcentral lists this non-coding RNA (207 nucleotides) under Pelosinus sp. Its description in RNAcentral is "T-box sequence". It matches the Rfam family "T-box leader". Rfam says of the family: Uncharged tRNA acts as the effector for transcription antitermination of genes in the T-box leader family. T-boxes are found upstream of many aminoacyl-tRNA synthetase genes and some amino acid biosynthetic genes usually in Gram-positive bacteria. The anticodon of a specific tRNA base pairs to a specifier sequence within the T-box motif, and the NCCA acceptor tail of the tRNA base pairs to a conserved bulge in the T-box antiterminator hairpin. Lineage: Bacteria; Bacillati; Bacillota; Negativicutes; Selenomonadales; Sporomusaceae. The record is from RNAcentral.